This 1270-nucleotide ribosomal RNA is filed under the name Escherichia coli. RNAcentral describes it as "partial 23S ribosomal RNA". It matches the Rfam family "Bacterial large subunit ribosomal RNA", at positions 614 to 1869 of the family's 2925-position model. Lineage: Bacteria; Pseudomonadati; Pseudomonadota; Gammaproteobacteria; Enterobacterales; Enterobacteriaceae. The record is from RNAcentral.
AAUGGGUCAGCGACUUAUAUUCUGUAGCAAGGUUAACCGAAUAGGGGAGCCGAAGGGAAACCGAGUCUUAACUGGGCGUUAAGUUGCAGGGUAUAGACCCGAAACCCGGUGAUCUAGCCAUGGGCAGGUUGAAGGUUGGGUAACACUAACUGGAGGACCGAACCGACUAAUGUUGAAAAAUUAGCGGAUGACUUGUGGCUGGGGGUGAAAGGCCAAUCAAACCGGGAGAUAGCUGGUUCUCCCCGAAAGCUAUUUAGGUAGCGCCUCGUGAAUUCAUCUCCGGGGGUAGAGCACUGUUUCGGCAAGGGGGUCAUCCCGACUUACCAACCCGAUGCAAACUGCGAAUACCGGAGAAUGUUAUCACGGGAGACACACGGCGGGUGCUAACGUCCGUCGUGAAGAGGGAAACAACCCAGACCGCCAGCUAAGGUCCCAAAGUCAUGGUUAAGUGGGAAACGAUGUGGGAAGGCCCAGACAGCCAGGAUGUUGGCUUAGAAGCAGCCAUCAUUUAAAGAAAGCGUAAUAGCUCACUGGUCGAGUCGGCCUGCGCGGAAGAUGUAACGGGGCUAAACCAUGCACCGAAGCUGCGGCAGCGACGCUUAUGCGUUGUUGGGUAGGGGAGCGUUCUGUAAGCCUGCGAAGGUGUGCUGUGAGGCAUGCUGGAGGUAUCAGAAGUGCGAAUGCUGACAUAAGUAACGAUAAAGCGGGUGAAAAGCCCGCUCGCCGGAAGACCAAGGGUUCCUGUCCAACGUUAAUCGGGGCAGGGUGAGUCGACCCCUAAGGCGAGGCCGAAAGGCGUAGUCGAUGGGAAACAGGUUAAUAUUCCUGUACUUGGUGUUACUGCGAAGGGGGGACGGAGAAGGCUAUGUUGGCCGGGCGACGGUUGUCCCGGUUUAAGCGUGUAGGCUGGUUUUCCAGGCAAAUCCGGAAAAUCAAGGCUGAGGCGUGAUGACGAGGCACUACGGUGCUGAAGCAACAAAUGCCCUGCUUCCAGGAAAAGCCUCUAAGCAUCAGGUAACAUCAAAUCGUACCCCAAACCGACACAGGUGGUCAGGUAGAGAAUACCAAGGCGCUUGAGAGAACUCGGGUGAAGGAACUAGGCAAAAUGGUGCCGUAACUUCGGGAGAAGGCACGCUGAUAUGUAGGUGAAGUCCCUCGCGGAUGGAGCUGAAAUCAGUCGAAGAUACCAGCUGGCUGCAACUGUUUAUUAAAAACACAGCACUGUGCAAACACGAAAGUGGACGUAUACGGUGUGACGCCUGCCCGGUGC